AGGUAGCUCAGUAGGUAGAGCGCCGAUCUGACAAUCUUGAGGUUGCGGGUUCAAACCCUGG
RNAcentral lists this transfer RNA (61 nucleotides) under Pyramimonas parkeae. Lineage: Eukaryota; Viridiplantae; Chlorophyta; Pyramimonadophyceae; Pyramimonadales; Pyramimonadaceae. The record is from RNAcentral.